CCGGCCCUCAACAAGUCCGCGUCGGCUCUGUUACCGUAGAGGCUUAGCCACGGUAGCAUUGCGUCUAACCUCACUGUGGUUAUGCCUCGGGGCAGUGGAUGCUGAACCAGGCGCCGGAGAUCCACCAGCGAUCUCGUCUUUCCCUUUCUUAAAGCACCGUUGGAGAGCAUGAGCUCCCCCACACCCAGAGCACUCAUGCUUAAACCUGCACAGCGAACCCCACUUACACUGGCCCUCGUUGAAAAGCCGGCAAAUACCUUUCCUAAAUGCAGCCGACGAGGCAGACUGACCCCC
This is a non-coding RNA of Pelobates cultripes (western spadefoot toad), 294 nucleotides long. The record is from the annotation of a GenBank genome assembly. Lineage: Eukaryota; Metazoa; Chordata; Amphibia; Anura; Pelobatidae.